CCUACGGGAGGCAGCAGUAAGGAAUAUUGGUCAAUGGAGGCAACUCUGAACCAGCCAUGCCGCGUGCAGGAAGACUGCCCUAUGGGUUGUAAACUGCUUUUAUCCGGGAAUAAACCUACUUACGUGUAAGUAGCUGAAUGUACCGGAAGAAUAAGGAUCGGCUAACUCCGUGCCAGCAGCCGCGGUAAUACGGAGGAUCCAAGCGUUAUCCGGAUUUAUGGGUUUAAAGGGUGCGUAGGCGGCCUGUUAAGUCAGGGGUGAAAGCGGUAGCUCAACUAUCGCAGUGCCCUUGAUACUGAUGGGCUUGAAUGGACUAGAGGUAGGCGGAAUGAGACAAGUAGCGGUGAAAUGCAUAGAUAUGUCUCAGAACACCGAUUGCGAAGGCAGCUUAACUAUGU
Molecule: ribosomal RNA, 398 nt
Filed under: uncultured bacterium
Lineage: Bacteria
Description: bacterial SSU rRNA
Rfam family: Bacterial small subunit ribosomal RNA
Source: RNAcentral